UGACGAACGCUCCUUUGUGUGUCUAAUACAUGCAAGUCCAACGCUGCUUAGGAAGAAACUUCGGUUUUUUCUUAACCGGAGUGGCGGACGGGUGAGUAACACGUGGGGAACCUAUCUAUCAGCGGGGGAUAACACUUGGAAACAGGUGCUAAUACCGCAUAUGGCUUUUUUUCACCUGAAAGAAAGCUCAAAGGCGCUUUACAGCGUCACUGAUGGCUGGUCCCGCGGUGCAUUAGCCAGUUGGUGAGGUAACGGCUCACCAAAGCAACGAUGCGUAGCCGACCUGAGAGGGUGAUCGGCCACACUGGGACUGAGACACGGCCCAGACUCCUACGGGAGGCAGCAGUAGGGAAUCUUCGGCAAUGGACGCAAGUCUGACCGAGCAACGCCGCGUGAGUGAAGAAGGUUUUCGGAUCGUAAAGCUCUGUUGUCAGCAAAGAACAGGAGAAAGAGGAAAUGCUUUUUCUAUGACGGUAGCUGACCAGAAAGCCACGGCUAACUACGUGCCAGCAGCCGCGGUAAUACGUAGGUGGCAAGCGUUGUCCGGAUUUAUUGGGCGUAAAGCGAGCGCAGGCGGUGAUUUAAGUCUGAUGUGAAAGCCCCCAGCUCAACUGGGGAGGGUCAUUGGAAACUGGAUCACUUGAGUGCAGAAGAGGAGAGUGGAACUCCAUGUGUAGCGGUGAAACGCGUAGAUAUAUGGAGGAACACCAGUGGCGAAGGCGGCUCUCUGGUCUGUAACUGACGCUGAGGCUCGAAAGCGUGGGUAGCAAACAGGAUUAGAUACCCUGGUAGUCCACGCCGUAAACGAUGAGUGCUAAGUGUUGGAGGGUUUCCGCCCUUCAGUGCUGCAGUUAACGCAUUAAGCACUCCGCCUGGGGAGUACGACCGCAAGGUUGAAACUCAAAGGAAUUGACGGGGGCCCGCACAAG
RNAcentral lists this ribosomal RNA (929 nucleotides) under uncultured bacterium. Its description in RNAcentral is "bacterial SSU rRNA". It matches the Rfam family "Bacterial small subunit ribosomal RNA", at positions 26 to 929 of the family's 1533-position model. The record is from RNAcentral.